AUUAAGGUGGCAGAUCAGUGCGAAGGGUUUAAGUUUCUUUUAGAGAAAUACUAGAAUUUCUUUUAUUUCUUCUUAAUA
RNAcentral lists this transfer RNA (78 nucleotides) under Cirrothauma murrayi. RNAcentral's name for it is "tRNA-Leu". Lineage: Eukaryota; Metazoa; Mollusca; Cephalopoda; Octopoda; Cirroteuthidae. The record is from RNAcentral.